AUAGCGUAUAUUAAAGUUGUUGUGGUUAAAAAGCUCGUAGUUGAACCUUGGGCCUGGCUGGCCGGUCCCCCUCACCGGGUGUACUGGUCCGGCCGGGUCUUUCCCUCUGUGGAACCUCAUGCCCUUCACUGGGUGUGCUGGGGAAACAGGACUUUUACUUUGAAAAAAUUAGAGUGCUCCAGGCAGGCCUAUGCUCGAAUACUUCAGCAUGGAAUAAUAGAAUAGGACGUGUGGUUCUAUUUUGUUGGUUUCUAGGACCGCCGUAAUGAUUAAUAGGGACAGUCGGGGGCAUCAGUAUUCAAUUGUCAGAGGUGAAAUUCUUGGAUUUAUUGAAGACGAACUACUG
Molecule: ribosomal RNA, 346 nt
Filed under: uncultured eukaryote
Lineage: Eukaryota
Description: SSU rRNA
Rfam family: Eukaryotic small subunit ribosomal RNA
Source: RNAcentral